RNAcentral lists this ribosomal RNA (301 nucleotides) under uncultured bacterium. RNAcentral describes it as "partial 16S ribosomal RNA". It matches the Rfam family "Bacterial small subunit ribosomal RNA", at positions 509 to 807 of the family's 1533-position model. The record is from RNAcentral.
CAGUAGCCACGGGAAUACGUAGGUGGCAAGCGUUGUCCGGAAUUAUUGGGCGUAAAGGGCUCGCAGGCGGUUUCUUAAGUCUGAUGCGAAAGCCCCCGGCUCAACCGGGGAGGGUCAUUGGAAACUGGGAAACUUGAGUGCAGAAGAGGAGAGUGGAAUUCCACGUGUAGCGGUGAAAUGCGUAGAGAUGUGGAGGAACACCAGUGGCGAAGGCGACUCUCUGGUCUGUAACUGACGCUGAGGAGCGAAAGCGUGGGGAGCGAACAGGAUUAGAUACCCGCGUAGUCCCUGUCUCUUAUAC